RNAcentral lists this long non-coding RNA (252 nucleotides) under Vigna radiata. RNAcentral describes it as "long non-coding RNA (VRAD_LNC000978)". The record is from RNAcentral. Lineage: Eukaryota; Viridiplantae; Streptophyta; Magnoliopsida; Fabales; Fabaceae.
UAAGCAGUGGAUGGACGUCUAACUCUUCUUUCUCUCUUGUCUGUAAGUCCUUCUAGAAGUGGUUACUAGUUUUUCUUGCUUCUAGUAUGAAUGGCCUCCUGCAUAAAAAAGAAACAAAUACCCUACAAGCACUUUUAUAAAAAAAAUAAAACAAAAACAAAAACAAAAUAUAUACAAACAAGUCAAACUUAAUCAAUUUAUACUACUAAAAAAAAUAAACCACGAGUCCCCGACAACGACGCCAAAAACUUG